AACGAACGCUGGCGGCAUGCCUAACACAUGCAAGUCGAACGAGACCUUCGGGUCUAGUGGCGCACGGGUGCGUAACGCGUGGGAACCUGCCCUUAGGUUCGGAAUAACUCCCCGAAAGGGGUGCUAAUACCGGAUAAUGUCUUCGGACCAAAGAUUUAUCGCCUUUGGAUGGGCCCGCGUUGGAUUAGCUAGUUGGUAGGGUAAAAGCCUACCAAGGCGACGAUCCAUAGCUGGUCUGAGAGGAUGAUCAGCCACACUGGGACUGGGACACGGCCCAGACUCCUACGGGAGGCAGCAGUGGGGAAUAUUGGACAAUGGGCGAAAGCCUGAUCCAGCAAUGCCGCGUGAGUGAUGAAGUCCUUAGGGUUGUAAAGCUCUUUUACCCGGGAUGAUAAUGACAGUACCGGGAGAAUAAGCUCCGGCUAACUCCGUG
RNAcentral lists this ribosomal RNA (433 nucleotides) under uncultured bacterium. RNAcentral's name for it is "partial 16S ribosomal RNA". It matches the Rfam family "Bacterial small subunit ribosomal RNA", at positions 29 to 507 of the family's 1533-position model. The record is from RNAcentral.